UGGGGAAUAUUGCACAAUGGGCGCAAGCCUGAUGCAGCCAUGCCGCGUGUGUGAAGAAGGCCUUCGGGUUGUAAAGCACUUUCAGCGGGGAGGAAGGCGAUAAGGUUAAUAACCUUGUCGAUUGACGUUACCCGCAGAAGAAGCACCGGCUAACUCCGUGCCAGCAGCCGCGGUAAUACGGAGGGUGCAAGCGUUAAUCGGAAUUACUGGGCGUAAAGCGCACGCAGGCGGUCUGUCAAGUCGGAUGUGAAAUCCCCGGGCUCAACCUGGGAACUGCAUUCGAAACUGGCAGGCUAGAGUCUUGUAGAGGGGGGUAGAAUUCCAGGUGUGGCGGUGAAAUGCGUAGAGAUCUGGAGGAAUACCGGUGGCGAAGGCGGCCCCCUGGACGAAGACUGACGCUCAGGUGCGAAAGCGUGGGGAGCAAACAGG
Molecule: ribosomal RNA, 429 nt
Filed under: Chloroflexota bacterium
Lineage: Bacteria; Bacillati; Chloroflexota
Description: Chloroflexi bacterium partial 16S ribosomal RNA
Rfam family: Bacterial small subunit ribosomal RNA
Source: RNAcentral